Molecule: ribosomal RNA, 852 nt
Filed under: Staphylococcus aureus
Lineage: Bacteria; Bacillati; Bacillota; Bacilli; Caryophanales; Staphylococcaceae
Description: partial 23S ribosomal RNA
Rfam family: Bacterial large subunit ribosomal RNA
Source: RNAcentral
GAAACAUCUUAGUACCCGGAGGAAGAGAAAGAAAAUUCGAUUCCCUUAGUAGCGGCGAGCGAAACGGGAAGAGCCCAAACCAACAAGCUUGCUUGUUGGGGUUGUAGGACACUCUAUACGGAGUUACAAAGGACGACAUUAGACGAAUCAUCUGGAAAGAUGAAUCAAAGAAGGUAAUAAUCCUGUAGUCGAAAAUGUUGUCUCUCUUGAGUGGAUCCUGAGUACGACGGAGCACGUGAAAUUCCGUCGGAAUCUGGGAGGACCAUCUCCUAAGGCUAAAUACUCUCUAGUGACCGAUAGUGAACCAGUACCGUGAGGGAAAGGUGAAAAGCACCCCGGAAGGGGAGUGAAAUAGAACCUGAAACCGUGUGCUUACAAGUAGUCAGAGCCCGUUAAUGGGUGAUGGCGUGCCUUUUGUAGAAUGAACCGGCGAGUUACGAUUUGAUGCAAGGUUAAGCAGUAAAUGUGGAGCCGUAGCGAAAGCGAGUCUGAAUAGGGCGUUUAGUAUUUGGUCGUAGACCCGAAACCAGGUGAUCUACCCUUGGUCAGGUUGAAGUUCAGGUAACACUGAAUGGAGGACCGAACCGACUUACGUUGAAAAGUGAGCGGAUGAACUGAGGGUAGCGGAGAAAUUCCAAUCGAACCUGGAGAUAGCUGGUUCUCUCCGAAAUAGCUUUAGGGCUAGCCUCAAGUGAUGAUUAUUGGAGGUAGAGCACUGUUUGGACGAGGGGCCCCUCUCGGGUUACCGAAUUCAGACAAACUCCGAAUGCCAAUUAAUUUAACUUGGGAGUCAGAACAUGGGUGAUAAGGUCCGUGUUCGAAAGGGAAACAGCCCAGACCACCAGCUAAGGU